CCGGUAGCUCAGAGGAUAGAGCGCUUUCCGGCGAGCUUCGGCUCGUCGGGUACAGCAAUCGCCCGUUCCCGGAUCGUGUCCCCUAGCCACCGCCGGUGGUGAGGAGCGCUGUUACUUCGGAUCGCAAUGUCGAAGGUUCGACUCCUUCCGGACGAA
Molecule: transfer RNA, 156 nt
Filed under: Bradyrhizobium yuanmingense
Lineage: Bacteria; Pseudomonadati; Pseudomonadota; Alphaproteobacteria; Hyphomicrobiales; Nitrobacteraceae
Also listed under: 11 other names
Description: tRNA-Arg
Source: RNAcentral